UUUCACAACUUGACUGAAAUUCAGCCCUGUCAGGAAUCACUGCUUUGCUUUCUAUUUAAUUAAGUCAGUGUUUAGGUUGUACAAAUAAGUUGUUUGCUCCCAUAAUGGACAUUGAAACGGAAGCCUUAGCUGGCCUGGCUCUUCUCCUCAGGCGUGGAAAAACUGAAACUAAGAAAAACAAGCAAAGCAGUGCUGGGUUUUCUACUUCCUGGAUAGGGUAACUUGCGCAUCCAAUGAAGGCCAUCUGGUGGUUUCCCAAAUUAACAGUGCUGCGCAGAACUUUCAACAAGAAAAGCCCAGAGGAGGACGGUUGCUUUUGAAGCCACCACUCUUGUCUGCCUCAUUCAUUUCAAACAGAGAUACUUCUCAAAGAGAUGAAGGCCCGUGUACAAACAACAAUGCCCACUGCAUUCUCUUGCCACCAGCUGUGUUGUGGUGGCUUUUGAUUCUGCACAGAAGCUGCCUUGUUUCAGAAACUGAUUGAUGGUUCUUCUGAAUGAAGGAGGCAACAAGAACAAAUAAGCAGAGUUCCUGGUAAGGCAAGGUACUUCAAGAGAAUGGGCUUGAGAGCACUUAAAAUAAAAGGUGAACACAAGCCUCCAUGAAAGUAAAGCAUUGAGCUGCUUGCUCCUGGUUGAGAAUGUGCAGUUCUUAAGGAUCUCCACGUGUUGGUGCAAAGACAUAAGCUCCUUGGAGACAUCUGACUUGUCUUUUAUUUGACUUAUAUAAAAAGUCUGGUAUUUCAGACUUUUUAGUGGAGGUUAAAAAAAAAAAGUUAAAUCCAAAUAGAUGUCAUAAAACAGAGAAAACCAAUUGAAAUUAAAAAAUGUAGGCGGCCUGAGUUGGAUUCAAGGCAGUAAAAAGAAAACAAUGCAUUGAAAGAGCUGGUAAUGAGGCAUCUUGGCAGAGGGGAGGGCAUGUGAUUUCUCUUUGGAAAGACAGUGAAAGGCCUGCAAAGGCUUAUAAACACCAUGGGCAGCGUUAGGACCUGCUUUCCAUGAACUCAGAGAUGGCCUCCUCUUUCCAUAAAUCCUUGACUUUCCCUUUUGCCUAACAGAUGGAGACAAACCAGGUAAAACUAGCCACGAGAAGCCUAGCUACAUUAAAUAUUUUUAUUAUAAGAAGCUCUAUCAAACUUCCUGGGGGUGAGCAUUCUUCAAGAAUCUGUGUUGGGGGCACAGUGAUGGCUGAGGAGCAGGUGUGGGGGGUAGAGCUGGGGUUUUAGGGGGUUGUGAGGAUUGGAGGGGUGGGGGAACGAGUAUUCUGGUCAUUGGUUCUUACACACCAUGUUUUCACAAUAAUAAUAAAAAUUUGUCCAUCAGC
Molecule: long non-coding RNA, 1323 nt
Filed under: Sus scrofa (pig)
Lineage: Eukaryota; Metazoa; Chordata; Mammalia; Artiodactyla; Suidae
Description: lncRNA (ENSSSCG00025024965.1, ENSSSCG00035063581.1, ENSSSCG00045017581.1)
Source: RNAcentral